Molecule: ribosomal RNA, 396 nt
Filed under: uncultured bacterium
Lineage: Bacteria
Description: bacterial SSU rRNA
Rfam family: Bacterial small subunit ribosomal RNA
Source: RNAcentral
AUUGAACGCUGGCGGCAUGCCUUACACAUGCAAGUCGAACGGCAGCACGGGAGCAAUCCUGGUGGCGAGUGGCGAACGGGUGAGUAAUAUAUCGGAACGUGCCCGGUCGUGGGGAUAACGUAGCGAAAGCUACGCUAAUACCGCAUACGAUCUACGGAUGAAAGCGGGGGAUCGCAAGACCUCGCGCGAUUGGAGCGGCCGAUAUCAGAUUAGGUAGUUGGUGAGGUAAAGGCUCACCAAGCCGACGAUCUGUAGCUGGUCUGAGAGGACGACCAGCCACACUGGGACUGAGACACGGCCCAGACUCCUACGGGAGGCAGCAGUGGGGAAUUUUGGACAAUGGGCGCAAGCCUGAUCCAGCAAUGCCGCGUGCAGGAUGAAGGCCUCGGUUGUAAC